UUGAAGUUGAAAUGUUAAUUCAGAAAGGAGCAGUAUGCCCAAGAUUAACACAUAACGUGCAUUUUAAUAAGGCAAGAAGAACCAACAGAUGUUUAUACCAAACUUUCCUUUAUUAAACUACUUUGAAAUUGCAAAACAAAACAACAAUAUCGCAGCUUCCUUUGGUAUUCGCUUAAACAGUAAAACGAAUAAUUUCAAAUUCGGUCAGUUGGGCCCCUUGACGGGCUCAAAAUCUCAUAAAUCAUCUUCUUUUUAUUUACGCAUGUAUUUCUACGCUCGAAUUGAGUUUGUGAGUCGGUUCAAUAUCGAUCCACCUAAUGGAAAACAUCAGUAGAAUUAACAUGAACACAACCCAUUUAUCGAUCGUUUUGGGGGCUUUUUCAAGGAUAGAGAGUCAAAAAAUAACAGAGUGAGAGUGGAGAAGUGGCCAAUCUUAAGAAGAUAGCGACAUGCAAAAUGGGUCUCGAAGUUGGUGAAAAAGAAGAGCUAAGUUGCAGCCACAAUUACUGACUCCUGCAGCCCUCCAUUUCCUACCUUAAAAAGACCAACCUCAAUUCCCUCUAUAUGCACACCCAGCUAAGAGCUACAGUAUUAUCUUCUUCCCUUCAUAACCAAAAUAUAUAAAUAUAGUAGUAGCAAGAAUUAACGAAAGUCAAAGCGAGGAAUUCUACGUUCAAAGCACAGAGAUCAAGAACUAUUAAGAGCAGUAAUAUCACAUGGGAGCCAUGUUGAUCACUGCCUAAUAAUACUGUUAGUCACGCAGGCCUCUCUCUUGGAUUUCGGUUGACAAAUGUGUUUGCCUUUAUUAUUUUUAUACACAUUCCUAUGUAUUAGGACAAUGGGUCUCUGUUCUGAGUUAUGCUUAAUUUUCCUAGGAGCAGUACCCUCUCUCUCUCUCUCUGUCUCUACGCAUGUGAUUGUUUUACAUUACUCCUCCUCACUGUCUCUUUCAUGGGACAGAAUUUCCUUGCUAGGGUUACAUUUUUUAUUUGCCCUAACUUUCUCUCUGACCUGAGGUUUCUAUGUUUUAAUUAAAAUUAAUUGACUCAGUUGGAAUAAUUAGGCACUGUUGUUUUGUUCAGUGAACAAUGAACAAUGCAGGCCAAGAAUAGAGCAACAUAUCUAAUGUGUACAAAUAAUUUUCAAUGGCUAAAAAACAAUGAACAUGUCCACUGCAGGCCAAAAAUAGAACAUCAUUUCAAAUGGCC
Molecule: long non-coding RNA, 1208 nt
Filed under: Jatropha curcas
Lineage: Eukaryota; Viridiplantae; Streptophyta; Magnoliopsida; Malpighiales; Euphorbiaceae
Description: long non-coding RNA (JCUR_LNC000994)
Source: RNAcentral